ACAGACCUACUGACAUACAUUUAGCCACCCUCCAGGUUCUUACCUUUUCCUGGAGGGUGGUUUCCCUGGUCCAGUGGCAGGCUGAGGCAGAUGGGAGUUCUCUUCUUGAACUCCCCUCCUCCCUUCCUUCCUCCUCCCGCGCGGCUAUCUCCGGUGGGAGGAAGUGACGUCACUCCUCCCAGCCGGCUGCAGAACCGGAAGAGGGGCCCGGUCGCGCUGUUUAAGCGCCACAGCGCCCGACCGGGCCCCUCCUGACACAUGCUCCCCGGGUGGCCCUUAGUGCAUGGGCCACCCGGGGAGCCUCCUCAGUGUGCGGGAGCCGCAAAUCGCGGGGCCCACAGAGCAGCUGCUCUGGGCCCCCAGGAACAACUGGGCCCGGGGCAGCUGCCCCGUUUGCCCCGCGUUAAAGACGGCCCUGA
Molecule: non-coding RNA, 419 nt
Organism: Pelobates cultripes (western spadefoot toad)
Lineage: Eukaryota; Metazoa; Chordata; Amphibia; Anura; Pelobatidae
Source: the annotation of a GenBank genome assembly